GGAAGUAAAGUCGUAACAAGGUCUCCGUAGGUGAACCUGCGGAGGGAUCAUUCAGGAAGCAGGCGCCCAGGCGCCCUUCUCUCCCUUAAACCAUGUGGUCCUAUGCCAUGCCUCGGGGGGGUCAAGCGGCCUAGGCCGUGGGGUCCUUUGAGGCCCGCCCCCCCGCGUCUGUCGUGCCUCGGGCGAGUCCGCUCGUCCGGGAGCCGGCAUGCUUCAGUCUUGGAGUGAUGAUUGUGUCUGAUCAGUCCAGUGGACAGAAUUAUUAAAACUUUCAACAACGGAUCUCUUGGCUCUC
This 295-nucleotide unclassified non-coding RNA is filed under the name plant metagenome. RNAcentral describes it as "partial contains small subunit ribosomal RNA, internal transcribed spacer 1, and 5.8S ribosomal RNA". The stretch from base 1 to 53 matches the Rfam family "Eukaryotic small subunit ribosomal RNA", at positions 1778 to 1831 of the family's 1831-position model. The record is from RNAcentral.